Molecule: microRNA precursor, 68 nt
Filed under: Bombyx mori (domestic silkworm)
Lineage: Eukaryota; Metazoa; Arthropoda; Insecta; Lepidoptera; Bombycidae
Description: mir-2774 microRNA precursor family
Rfam family: mir-2774 microRNA precursor family
Source: Rfam by way of RNAcentral
ACAACAUUCGGACCAUCGGUCUAGAGAGCAACCUCACCAGCUCGAGAGGAAGAUCUUCCCUAUGACGU